CCCUAUUUAAACCCAUGCCCCCUAAAACCUCAUAAACAUUAACUAAAACAUUCACUAUAUUUUAGUAAAGGCGAUUGAAAAACUAAUUAGAGCUAUAACAGUAGUACCGCAAGGGAAUGAUGAAAUAAAAAUGAAAUAAAUAUCAAGCAAAAAAAAGCAGAGAUAUGCACUCGUACCUUUUGCAUCAUGAUUUAUCUAGUCUAAUCAAGCAAAAAGACUUAUAGUUUGUCCCCCCGAAACUAGACGAGCUACUUCGAGGCAGCUUUAUGAGCCCACCCGUCUCUGUUGCAAAAGAGUGGGAAGACCCCCAAGUAGCGGUGAUAGACCUAACGAGUCUAGUGAUAGCUGGUUGCUUAAGAAAAGGAUUUAGUCCUACCUGAAACAUCUCCAAUUUAAUAAAAUAUAUACAACGUUUUAGAGCUAUUCAAAUGAGGUACAGCCCAUUUGAAAUAAGGAUACAACCUAAACUAAUGGGUAAUUUAAUUAUAUUAUGAACAAGUAGGCCUAAAAGCAGCCACCUUUAAAAUAGCGUCAUAGCUUAUUCAUAUAAAACUACAAUACCACCACACACUUAAAACCCUUUAUUUAUAUUAAGCUAUUCUAUAAAACUAUAGAAGUAAUUAUGUUAAAACUAGUAAUAAGAAGACGACCUUCUCUUAGAUGUAAGUGUAAAUCAGAAAGGACCGACCACUGAUAAUUAAUGCUAAUGAACCUAAAACAGCAACCCCACUAGAAAACCCUGUUUUAAACAACGUUAACCUAACACCAGAACAUCUCAAGAAAGAUUAAAAGAAAAAGAAGGAACUCGGCAAACAUUAACCUCGCCUGUUUACCAAAAACAUCGCCUCUUGCCUAAAUAUAAGAGGUCCAGCCUGCCCAGUGACUCAGUUCAACGGCCGCGGUAUCCUAACCGUGCGAAGGUAGCGUAAUCACUUGUUCUUUAAAUGAGGACUAGUAUGAAUGGCACCACGAGGGUUAUACUGUCUCCUUUUUCUAAUCAAUGAAACUGAUCUCCCCGUGAAGAAGCGGGGAUUAUAUUAUAAGACGAGAAGACCCUAUGGAGCUUCAAACUAAAUAGCAAUAGCUUAUAUACCAAUAUAUUUCAGAAUUAUAAUACCUAUUCUAGCACAUAUGACUAUUAGUUUUAGGUUGGGGUGACCGCGGAGCAAAAACUAACCUCCACAUUGAAAGAAGCCACUUCUGAGCAAAAAGCUACAACUUCAAGCACCAAUAAAUUGACAUAAAUUGACCCAAUAUUUUGAUCAACGAACCAAGUUACCCUAGGGAUAACAGCGCAAUCCACCUCAAGAGCUCCUAUCGACAGGUGGGCUUACGACCUCGAUGUUGGAUCAGGGUAUCCUAGUGGUGCAGCCG
This 1374-nucleotide ribosomal RNA is filed under the name Dendropsophus meridensis (Merida tree frog). RNAcentral describes it as "partial 16S ribosomal RNA". It matches the Rfam family "Bacterial large subunit ribosomal RNA", at positions 373 to 2561 of the family's 2925-position model. The record is from RNAcentral. Lineage: Eukaryota; Metazoa; Chordata; Amphibia; Anura; Hylidae.